This 200-nucleotide ribosomal RNA is filed under the name uncultured bacterium. RNAcentral's name for it is "partial 16S ribosomal RNA". It matches the Rfam family "Bacterial small subunit ribosomal RNA", at positions 30 to 242 of the family's 1533-position model. The record is from RNAcentral.
AUUGAACGCUGGCGGCAGGCCUAACACAUGCAAGUCGAGCGGGGUUUUCGGACCUAGCGGCGGACGGGUGAGUAAUGCGUAGGAAGCUGCCCGAUAGAGGGGGAUACCAGUUGGAAACGACUGUUAAUACCGCAUAAUGUCUACGGACCAAAGUGUGGGACCUUCGGGACACAUGCUAUCGGAUGCGCCUACGUGGGAUU